Stegodyphus dumicola is the source of this 634-nucleotide long non-coding RNA. NCBI's taxonomy places the organism in Eukaryota, Metazoa, Arthropoda, Arachnida, Araneae, Eresidae. The record is from RefSeq and is a predicted model, not a curated record.
CUUACCAUAAUCAAAUAAGCCAACUCGUUGACUGUUGAAAGAUUACUAAAUUGAAAGAAUUAUUAAAAACAUCCAAAUAUCAUUUCAGGGUUCUGCAGUAUUUUGGUACAAUCUCAAGCAGAGUGGAAAGGAAGAUGCUCUCACUUUGCAUGGUGCUUGUCCUGUUGCUAUUGGUAGUAAGUGGGUUGCCAACUUCUGGAUUCGAGAAAAAGGACAAGUAUUCCGAAGAAGAUGUGCACUCGAUGCUGAUUUAUGACCAUGGAAUUGAUGAACAUUAAUUGAGCAAGCUUCUUCAUUGAAGUCAAACUUGUAAUUACCCACCUGUGACACACAGACUAGAAGCCAAGUAAGAGUAUGCGCAGUUUAUGCAACCACAUCAAGAAGAACUAUUACUAGUGACUUGUUGAAUAACCUGAAGCCCAAAAUAGUUCCAGCAGGAACUUCACAUACUUUAAAAGAACUCUCAGCUUUGGACAGAGCUUAUUUGAAUUACAAAAGUAUACUACAUUUCAAGGUGACAACCCAGAACAGACUUUCAAAAAUAUGUAGUUAUUCAUAAAUUUUUUAAGUGUGUACAAAGAAUGUAAAUAAAUAUCUUUUUAAAGAACUUUGCAAAACAAACAACUUGACAAAA